This 29-nucleotide non-coding RNA is filed under the name Rattus norvegicus (Norway rat). The record is from RNAcentral. Lineage: Eukaryota; Metazoa; Chordata; Mammalia; Rodentia; Muridae.
UCUGUUCCUAAGGAUUGGCGAGCAGCUAA